AGGUAAGCUACUAAGAGCGAAUGGUGGAUGCCUUGACUGGUAAAGGCGAUGAAGGACGUACUAGACUGCGAUAAGCUACGGGGAGCUGUCAAGAAGCUUUGAUCCGUAGAUUUCCGAAUGGGGCAACCCAAUGUAUAGAGAUAUACAUUACCUAUAUAGGAGCGAACGAGGGGAAUUGAAACAUCUUAGUACCCUCAGGAAAAGAAAUCAAUAGAGAUUGCGUCAGUAGCGGCGAGCGAAAGCGCAAGAGGGCAAACCCAGUGCUUGCACUGGGGGUUGUAGGACUGCAAUGUGCAAGAGCUGAGUUUAGCAGAACAUUCUGGAAAGUAUAGCCAUAGAGGGUGAUAGUCCCGUAUGCGAAAAACAAAGCUUAGCUAGCAGUAUCCUGAGUAGGGCGGGACACGAGGAAUCCUGUCUGAAUCCGGGUCGACCACGAUCCAACCCUAAAUACUAAUACCAGAUCGAUAGUGCACAAGUACCGUGAGGGAAAGGUGAAAAGAACUGAGGUGAUCAGAGUGAAAUAGAACCUGAAACCAUUUGCUUACAAUCAUUCAGAGCACUAUGUAGCAAUACAGUGUGAUGGACUGCCUUUUGCAUAAUGAGCCUGCGAGUUGUGGUGUCUGGCAAGGUUAAGCAAACGCGAAGCCGUAGCGAAAGCGAGUCUGAAUAGGGCGCUUAGUCAGAUGCUGCAGACCCGAAACGAAGUGAUCUAUCCAUGAGCAAGUUGAAGCUAGUGUAAGAACUAGUGGAGGACUGAACCCAUAGGCGUUGAAAAGCCCCGGGAUGACUUGUGGAUAGGGGUGAAAGGCCAAUCAAACUUCGUGAUAGCUGGUUCUCUCCGAAAUAUAUUUAGGUAUAGCGUUGUGUCGUAAUAUAAGGGGGUAGAGCACUGAAUGGGCUAGGGCAUACACCAAUGUACCAAACCCUAUCAAACUCCGAAUACCUUAUAUGUAAUCACAGCAGUCAGGCGGCGAGUGAUAAAAUCCGUCGUCAAGAGGGAAACAACCCAGACUACCAGCUAAGGUCCCUAAAUCUUACUUAAGUGGAAAACGAUGUGAAGUUACUUAAACAACCAGGAGGUUGGCUUAGAAGCAGCCAUCCUUUAAAGAAAGCGUAAUAGCUCACUGGUCUAGUGAUUUUGCGCGGAAAAUAUAACGGGGCUAAAGUAAGUACCGAAGCUGUAGACUUGCGCACAACUUAGAUUAUUUAAGUUUAGAAUAUGAGAAACUAAGUUAUAUUUUUACUGAUUUUUAUAGAGUAAAGAUAGAAAUAAAACUUAGUAAAAUCAGUAAAAAUAUUCUUAGGCUAAAGUUAAGUAGUUUAAGUUGUGUGCAAGUGGUAGGAGAGCGUUCUAUUUGCGUCGAAGGUAUACCGGUAAGGAGUGCUGGAGCGAAUAGAAGUGAGCAUGCAGGCAUGAGUAGCGAUAAUUAAUGUGAGAAUCAUUAACGCCGUAAACCCAAGGUUUCCUACGCGAUGCUCGUCAUCGUAGGGUUAGUCGGGUCCUAAGUCGAGUCCGAAAGGGGUAGACGAUGGCAAAUUGGUUAAUAUUCCAAUACCAACAUUAGUGUGCGAUGGAAGGACGCUUAGGGCUAAGGGGGCUAGCGGAUGGAAGUGCU
This 1616-nucleotide ribosomal RNA is filed under the name Campylobacter jejuni. RNAcentral's name for it is "partial 23S ribosomal RNA". It matches the Rfam family "Bacterial large subunit ribosomal RNA", at positions 1 to 1508 of the family's 2925-position model. Lineage: Bacteria; Pseudomonadati; Campylobacterota; Epsilonproteobacteria; Campylobacterales; Campylobacteraceae. The record is from RNAcentral.